CUGUCUUCGAUAAAAAACAAAACCAAUGCAAUGUGAGAAUAAGGAAAUACGCCACAGCAGCAAGUCUAAACGACCGAAGUUACCUGAAUUGUCAUCGAAAAGAGGAGACUUAUUGAAUGAGCAAGUACUCCAGAAACAGAGGGAUUCGUUGUUAAGAGGUAUUGAUCCAGGGAGUGUUAGCAAGGAUGACUUCAAGUCUGUCUGGUACCAAAGAACCAAGAGAGAGAAGAGGCAGCAGGUGCGCUCUGACGUCACAUGUGAAAAGGACGCAUCAAGCUCAGCGCAGCGGGGAGUGAGGAGUGACGAUAAUGACUUCCCUCCCAAGACUCACAGCUGGAUGCUGCGGUGACGGUGGGGCUUAUGAAACGCUACAUGAACAACGGCAGUGGCAGCAAAGUGGCAGCAGAGAUUUGAGCCUCCACCGGGAGCCUGGGCCUGAGGUCUGUUUACAGGUGAAUGCCAAACAACACAAUGUUGCAGGGUCCUUGCCUAUACCCACCUGGCCACAGCUGGAGGAAUUGCUUCAUCACACGUCAUGCCAGUCAGCCUGUCUGUCAGCUUGCGAAAGUGGACCUCAGUAUAUACAUAUGUAUGAGGACUGAAAAGUUGCAGAAGUAAAUCUGUGGAGCUUUAUCAGCACAGUGACCAUGGAAUAAUGAUACAAGAGUCUGUGAGCUGACAGAGAAGGAAGACAAAACAGCUGUUGACCGUGUGCCACAGAGAGUGCUCUCCAUCAACAGAGGAAGAAGUGAUCACAGGUUGUCCAUCUGAGACACGACGAGGCCCUAAAGAACACGACAUCCUGGUGACAGAUCCCCCAGCUGUCUCUCCGGUCCCAGUGCUGAGAGAUGACAGCUGAGUCGACGUUGUGCAAUAACUACUGCCUGCUUCAUUACAUCACUGAUGUGGUCGUGACAGGAGACAAAGCGACUGACUUUCUGCCAGUCUGCUGUAUAUUCAAGCUUACAGGCAGCAUUGAGAGGUGCAUUUACUGCUCUGCUUGCAGUGUAUUAUCAUAAACCCCCAUAUAAAUGACAUCAAAAAUACUCCUUUUGCUUCCUGAAUAAAGGAUCUUCUUAUCUAUGUAAACAAACCAAAGUUUGACUAAAGCCAGUAGGCAAUUUAAGUGGGGAUGUGGUAUUAGAAGAUACAGAAUAAAAACAGAUCGAUCCGCACACCAAACAGCUCCUGUUAGAAGGGUUUUUGUUGCUGUAAUGUUCCAGCUCUGCUAGAUAUUGCUUUGAUCCAGCAGCCAUCCUAUCGGUCUCUGGAUGUGUGUGUUUUUCUUAUCGUUUCUU
Molecule: long non-coding RNA, 1298 nt
Organism: Sebastes umbrosus (honeycomb rockfish)
Lineage: Eukaryota; Metazoa; Chordata; Actinopteri; Perciformes; Sebastidae
Exons: 7
Source: RefSeq, a predicted model, not a curated record